This 253-nucleotide ribosomal RNA is filed under the name uncultured bacterium. RNAcentral describes it as "partial 16S ribosomal RNA". It matches the Rfam family "Bacterial small subunit ribosomal RNA", at positions 524 to 776 of the family's 1533-position model. The record is from RNAcentral.
UACGAGGGGGGCUAGUGUUGUUCGGAAUCACUGGGCGUAAAGGGAGCGUAGGCGGGCUUUCAAGUUAGGUGUUUAAUCCCGGGGCCCAACCCCGGACAGGCACUUAAAACUGGAAGUCUUGAAUAGUGGAGAGGUCAGUGGAAUUGGGGGUGUAGCGGUGGAAUGCGUAGAGAUCCCCAAGAACACCAGUUGCGAAGGCGGCUGACUGGACACAUAUUGACGCUGAGGCUCGAAAGCAUGGGGAGCAAACAGG